Molecule: ribosomal RNA, 468 nt
Filed under: uncultured bacterium
Lineage: Bacteria
Description: partial 16S ribosomal RNA
Rfam family: Bacterial small subunit ribosomal RNA
Source: RNAcentral
GACGAACGCUGGCGGCGUGCUUAACACAUGCAAGUCGAACGGAAAGGCCCGGCUUUUGUGUGGUGCUCGUGUGGCGAACGGGUGAGUAACACGCGAGUAACCUGCCCUUGACUUUGGGAUAACUUCCGGAAACUGGGGCUAAUACAGGAUAGGAGCUCUCGCUGCACGGUGUCGGUUGGAAAGUUUCGGCGGUUGGGGAUGGUCUCGCGGCUAAUCAGCUUGUUGGUGAGGUUGUGUCGUACGAAGGCUUUGAGGGGUAGCCGGCCUGAGAGGGUGACCGGCCACAUUGGGCCUGAGGUAGGGGCCAGACGGAAACGGGAGGCAGCGGUGGGGAAUAGUGCGCACUAGGCGGAGGCCUGAUGCAGCAACGCCGGGUGCGGAAUGACGGCCUUCGGGUUGUAAACCGCUUUCUCCGGAGACGAAGAAUGAGUGACGGUACUGGAUAAGAAAGCAACGGCUAACUACGUG